AUUUCUGGUGAGUCAGCCAGGAGGCCGUGGAGAGGACAGGUUGGCUGUCUUCUUUGCCUGUAGGUGGUCUGGGGCCCCAGCAGUGGGAGACCUGUAACUUCAGGCACCACUGGAAGAACUUAAGUCCAGAGAAGGAAGCGGCUUUUCCACUCCCCAGAGCCCCUCCCUGGACAGUGCUUCAGAACCUGGAGGGUUGCAGGACAAUCUCAAGAGCAGCGCGCAGACAUCUGAACCGUGGUUAAUCUAGUUCUUCUAUUUGUCUACCUAUAGGUGCACUCAUAACAUUUUAAUUUAUUUCAUGUGUUGUCAUCGUUAUCCUCUGUAUUACUCUGAGAAAGAAGAUGUUACCUGUUUGUGAAAAAGAGGGUCACAGAAUAUGUGUGAACCAAUACUUCAUUUGAGACAGCCUCACAUGGAGAAUGUAAUGAGCCAUUCUCUUCUCACAUACAGUUAAAUAUGACAUUUGCUGCAGUUUGAUCACUAAGCAUAAGGAAGGAGAAGAAGGAGAAGGAGAAGGGAAAAAAGAAUCCUCAUCAUUAAUGCAAGUGGAGGGAAACUCUUCACCAAAGAAUUGAUCACAUCACGAAAGGUGAAAUCAUUACGGAAUUGAUUGCUUAAAUAUAUAAUUUGAAUCUGGAUUUAAAAAUAAUAAAUGUAAGUUUUUUCUUAAAAAAAAAAAAA
Molecule: long non-coding RNA, 681 nt
Filed under: Pongo abelii (Sumatran orangutan)
Lineage: Eukaryota; Metazoa; Chordata; Mammalia; Primates; Hominidae
Description: lincRNA
Source: RNAcentral